AAUGGGCGGGGAGCCUGAUCCAGCCAUGCCGCGUGCAGGAUGACGGCCCUAUGGGUUGUAAACUGCUUUAAUACGGGAAGAAACGCACCUACGUGUAGGUGUCCUGACGGUACCGUAAGAAUAAGGACCGGCUAACUCCGUGCCAGCAGCCGCGGUAAUACGGAGGGUCCGAAGCGUUAUCCGGAAUCAUUGGGUUUAAAGGGUCCGUAGGCGGGCCUGUAAGUCAGGGGUGAAAGUUUGUGGCUCAACCAUAAAAUUGCCUUUGAUACUGCAGGUCUUAAGUCAUGGUGGGGUCGCCGGAACAUGUGGUGUAGCGGUGAAAUGCAUAGAUAUCACAUAGAACACCGAUCGCGAAGGCAGGUGACCAACCAUGUACUGACGCUGAUGUGACGAAAGCGUGGGUAGCGAACGGGAUUAGAUACCCCGGUAGUCCACGCCGUAAACGAUGGAUACUAGCUGUGGGGACUUCGGUCUCCGUGGCCAAGCGAAAGUGAUAAGUAUCCCACCUGGGGAGUACGUUCGCAAGAAUGAAACUCAAAGGAAUUGACGGGGGCCCGCACAAGCGGUGGAGCAUGUGGUUUAAUUCGAUGAUACGCGAGGAACCUUACCAGGGCUUAAAUGCAGGCUGCAUGGGGUGGAGACACCCCUUUCUUCGGACUGCCUGCAAGGUGCUGCAUGGUUGUCGUCAGCUCGUGCCGUGAGGUGUCGGUUA
RNAcentral lists this ribosomal RNA (712 nucleotides) under Allomuricauda sp. RSc-1. RNAcentral describes it as "bacterial SSU rRNA". It matches the Rfam family "Bacterial small subunit ribosomal RNA", at positions 370 to 1081 of the family's 1533-position model. Lineage: Bacteria; Pseudomonadati; Bacteroidota; Flavobacteriia; Flavobacteriales; Flavobacteriaceae. The record is from RNAcentral.